AAGUUGGUUAUUUGAUCUUUCCUACUGGGUGAUGGAAUAUUUGGAUUUCAGGUAUAGGAGAAAGAGGGAAAAGCUGGUUGAAAGGACUGCAGUUUCGCGCUUGCCUACUAAAUGGGGUUCGUUUAUGGUAUACUGUUAUCGUUCAAAACUGGACGAGAAGAGCAUAUUGCGCUUGUGAAGGGAGACAUAGGGAAUGGGCAGGAUGUUCAUAUGAGGGUUCACUAGGAGUGUUUGACAGGCGACAUUUUUGGAUCAAGGCGAUGCACAAUAUUUUAUUGGGUUUGAUGUAGAAUGUUUGUAUGAUGGAUACUUUUUCAAUGUAGGAUGAUAAAGAAUAUUUGAAAUUAAUAAAUGACAUUUUUAUUAUU
This is a long non-coding RNA of Salvia miltiorrhiza (redroot sage), 368 nucleotides long. RefSeq lists it as uncharacterized. The transcript has 2 exons. The record is from RefSeq and is a predicted model, not a curated record. NCBI's taxonomy places the organism in Eukaryota, Viridiplantae, Streptophyta, Magnoliopsida, Lamiales, Lamiaceae.